UCGAACGGAGCGCCCGGACGGAGUAUUUCGGUACCUUUACCGGGUGGCUGAGUGGCGGACGGGUGAGUAACGCGUGGACAACCUGCCGUGUACAGGGGGAUAACAGCCUUAAACGGCUGCUAAUACCGCAUAUGCGCACAGUGCCGCAUGGCACAGGGCGGAAAGCCUGGAUCUUAUCUAGUACGGUACACGAUGGGUCCGCGUCUGAUUAGGUAGUUGGCGGGGUAACGGCCCACCAAGCCCACGAUCAGUAGCCGGCCUGAGAGGGCGGACGGCCACACUGGGACUGAGACACGGCCCAGACUCCUGCGGGAGGCAGCAGUGGGGAAUAUUGCACAAUGGGGGGAACCCUGAUGCAGCGACGCCGCGUGAAGGAAGAAGUAUCUCGGUCCCCCAACUUCUAUCAGCAGGGAAGAAAGAGGACGAUACCUGACUAAGAAGCCCCGGCUAACUACGUGCCAGCAGCCGCGGUAAUACGUAGGGGGCGAGCGUUAUCCGGAUUUACUGGGUGUAAAGGGAGCGUAGACGGCCAUGCAAGCUCGGUGUGAAAGGUGCGGGCACAACCCGCAGACUGCACUGACAACUGUAUGGCUGGAGUGCCGGAGGGGCAGGCGGAAUUCCUGGUGUAGCGGUGAAAUGCG
RNAcentral lists this ribosomal RNA (641 nucleotides) under uncultured bacterium. RNAcentral describes it as "bacterial SSU rRNA". It matches the Rfam family "Bacterial small subunit ribosomal RNA", at positions 62 to 690 of the family's 1533-position model. The record is from RNAcentral.